Molecule: ribosomal RNA, 305 nt
Filed under: uncultured bacterium
Lineage: Bacteria
Description: bacterial SSU rRNA
Rfam family: Bacterial small subunit ribosomal RNA
Source: RNAcentral
CCUACGGGAGGCAGCAGUGAGGGAUAUUGGUCAAUGGGGGAAACCCUGAACCAGCAACGCCGCGUGAGGGAAGACGGUUUUCGGAUUGUAAACCUCUGUCCUCUGUGAAGAUAAUGACGGUAGCAGAGGAGGAAGCUCCGGCUAACUACGUGCCAGCAGCCGCGGUAAUACGUAGGGAGCAAGCGUUGUCCGGAUUUACUGGGUGUAAAGGGUGCGUAGGCGGCUUUAUAAGUCAGAAGUGAAAUCCAUGGGCUUAACCCAUGAACUGCUUUUGAAACUGUAGAGCUUGAGUGGAGUAGAGGUAG